Molecule: RNA transcript, 1243 nt
Organism: Spinacia oleracea (spinach)
Lineage: Eukaryota; Viridiplantae; Streptophyta; Magnoliopsida; Caryophyllales; Amaranthaceae
Exons: 2
Source: RefSeq, a predicted model, not a curated record
UUGCAGUGCCUUUGCUAGCUCAUCAAAAAAAAGGAGACACUUGAUCGUUCAUUCUUACAAAACAUACAAAUAUUUUUGAGUCAUUAAAAAGUGAAGGAGAUGGAUAUGAAGAUGAUAAAGAAGUGUGUUAGUAUGAUACUCAUGGUUUCCUUUUUUGUGGUUUUAACAACCACACUCAAACUGCCUCGGCUUGCGUUGGUAACAGGGAGCCGUGCAAUUUCUUUAAUCCUUGUUGCGGACAUUGUCGAUGCGAUUUUUUUCAAUCAUGGUUGUGCUUCCCCGGUCCUUUCAGCAAUCAAUUCAGUAAGGCUCUGUUUGGGAACACUAGCUGAUAUUCAGCUGAAUCUGAUAAGGAAUCAACUUGGGUUCAUAAUUCGACGUGGUGAAGACUCUCGUGAUGAAAUUAAUUCAUUUGUCAAGUGAAAGCUUUCACGACUUAAUUCAUUCGUGAUGAAGUUAUUUUCUUAUUUUAUUGUAUUAUACGAAGAGGUGAUUUGUUAAUUGAUACCAUCAGAAUUUUAAAAAAUAUAUAUAUGAUUAAAAGAACUAAAAUCAUACUCCCUCCAUAUAGAUAAAAAUGUUUUAUAUUGCAAAUGUUAACGUGCUGAUACCCCUUUGUCAUCUUGGACUUAUGGUCAUUGCUUUACCGCUUGAACUUCAAUAUAUUUGCGAUCAACAUGCCUUCCAAUCCUGGCUCUAGCAAAAACAAUAUUUUUAAAAAAUGACAUCUUUUUAUGGGAUCAUUGAUUUUUAUAAGUCGUAUAAAUUGGUAUUGCAAUUGUAGACGUGCUGAUACCCCUUGUCAUAGUGGUGGUAACUUCAACGCUUUUGCCUAACAUUCACCCGUGUUCGAAUCUUAACAAUAGGUUAGGAUUUUAUUUUUUAAAAAUCCCACGUUUCUUUCAAUUGAUGAACCAAAAUCAUUAUGAAUUUUAUUUGUUGUGUUCAAAAGUAAUUAUAGUUGAUCCUUUAAAAAAAAACAUAUUCUAUGUACUAUAAACCCUUCUCUGAAACUAAAAUCAUGUUAUAUGUAAAAAGUUGAUUGUUUUGAUCAUUUACACAAAAGAGAUUAUAUGUAAAACAAACCCCUCCUAAAAUUAACACCAUGUUAAUUGUAUUUGUUGUGUUCAAAACUAAAUAUUUUGUGGUCCUAUUAAAAAAAAUAGAUUUACGUAAAAUAUACCACUCCCAAAAGUUCGGAAAACUUUGAUCAAAAUAAAUAAUUGUUUAGAAAUCAUCUCAA